This 3570-nucleotide long non-coding RNA is filed under the name Citrus x clementina. Its description in RNAcentral is "Citrus clementina (C. clementina) long non-coding RNA (CCLE_LNC001806)". Lineage: Eukaryota; Viridiplantae; Streptophyta; Magnoliopsida; Sapindales; Rutaceae. The record is from RNAcentral.
UUACUAAAUUCAAAGGUAUUAUGAUUAAAAAGGGGGUCUUGAGGUCCCUCUUUAAAAAUUUAUGGGUUUUUGUAACCGUUUCCUCAUCCUUGGGGGUGUAACCGUGUAAGUGUUGUUUUCCCUAAAAUAUGAUAUAUACUUGGUCAAAAGAAAAAAAAAUGAUGAUAAAACAGUUAAGUGAAAGAAGAGUAAUGAUAUAGUCACAAACUCUUGUAUAAACUUAUUUUGUACAAACUGAUGUGCCGUUAAUUCAUUAAUUGAAUUAAAUAUCUCUUGACCCACAUGGUUUAUUAUUUAUAUUAUUUUAUAUUUUUAUUCAACCAAUGAAUUAGUGUCACAUCAGUUUGUACAAGAGUUUGUGGAUGUAUCAUCACUGGUGAAAGAAACACUUAUUAUUUUUUUAAAAGCUAAAAUGGUGGAAAGCCUAAGUUUAUUUUUAACCCCUUACUUCUCUCAAGAUUUGAACAUGGAUAUCAGUUAAAUAAAAUUACUUGAAAACCACUUAGUCAUACCCUUGGAAGCAAGUGAAAGAAACCCUUGAUCAUUAUUUUUCUAGCAAAGCGAAUUUAAUUAUAUUAGAGGGAAAAAAUACUUGUAAAAAAUAUAUAAUAAAUAAUUAAGUAAUACUUAGCAACGCUUACGUGCUGAGAUUGUGUCAUGGUGAUAUCUGGAAAACUUGCCACUCCACUUUCAAGUGUCAAUGGAGGUCUGUUAAAAGAGGGGUGGAAACGAAUUUAACAUUAGGCAAAUUAUAUUAACACCAAAAGUGUAAAUGAGAACAAGAAAUUAAUCGAAGGUUCUAAACAAAAUAUUUUUUUAGGAUACAGUUUGUUAUAUAUAUUUUCUAUUUGCAGAUGUGCAAAGGUUGCCUAAAUAAUGAUUACGCUAGCUUCAAAAAGAAAAAAAAAGUGAACUAUCAGAUAACUUAACGUUUAUAUUUGUAUAUUCAAUGAAAAAAUAGGGCAUUCCAAUCAUAUUUAGGGAGCUUGAUAUCUUACAGCUUCAGUAGGGUAUAACCCUUUAAUAAAAUGGAGUGUGACUCACUUGAACCCACCUCUAUUUUACUUAUUUUAAGUAGGCGUACCUUACAGAAAGUGUAAAGUAACCAUUUCCCAUAUUUAGGCAUUUGAAUCUACUCAAAUAACGGAAAAUGAAAAAAGAAAAUGGCAGCAAAGUGUCUAUUUUAACAGUUGACAUUGAUAUUCACAUUAAAAUGUGUAAUUUCAAAUACAAGCUACCUUAGUUUUAUAUCGAUAUGUGAUAUCAAAUAUAAAUGGAAUACCUUUGAAAAUUGGAUGGUGGAGAUUGAUCAGAGUUUGGUUCAUUACUUCCAUCCGAGGAAGAAGAUGAUUCACUUGCUGAUCCCUUUCCCUUGUCCAUAUUCUCCUGCUAACCAAAAUUCAUCAUCGGGUUCUUUUCUCAAAGGCACUUUUAUCUGUUAUAAAAUAUUAAAAAUAAUAUUUUCAAAUAUCUAAAAGUUCUUUAUAAUGGUAUUGAUAGCAUUUCCACAUAUGUAUUACUCCUCACUCUACUAAUUAAGGGCGAUUAACGAUUUUUCUAAUUAGUAAUAAUUCAAUUUAAUUGGAAAGGAGAAAUACAAGAGGCUAUAACCACAUAAUGUAAAUUUGUGAUAAGCUUUAGCUUUUUAUCUCUUUGUAUUUUUAAUGCUCUUUUUGGAUUUUUUUAUCAUUUAGUAAUUGCGUGCCAUUCAAUAACGACAAUAAGUAUUACAAUUAUUAUGAUAAUACUUUAAGAUAGCACAACCUGUUGAUCAAAUCAUUAAAACGAAGCAAAAUGAAAUUAUAUAUUUAGAAAACAUAAAUAUUUAUCAUCUUACUUACAGCCAAUUAAACUUAAUAAUUGUUUCAAGAUAAACUUAUGUUAGGAAAUUGGUGGGUGAAGCAGGACCGCAGCUAAAAUGAAAUUGGAAAUAAAAUAAAGAACAAGCACAAUAGAGGACACUAGAAAUUACGUGGUUCGGCUUUUAGCCUACAUCCACGGGCGAAGACAGAAGGAAAUAUUUUACUAGUGAAAAGGAGUUACAAGUAUUGUAGUAUUUUAGCUCACUUCCCAAAACCCCAAUACACCCAAACUCUCAAAUCACUAUAACUCUUAAAAAUCCUCUCUAAAUAAAGAAAAGAACUGAAGAACUCGAUGAUUUACAAAUGAAGGGAGCCAGCGUUUUUAUAGCCAAAAAUUGGCUACUGUUCAUUUAAUAUUUAAUUAUUAUUUUUAUUUUAUUAAUUUUUCUUUUCUUUUCCUUCUUUGGCCCGGCAUCUCUUUUUCUAACUUCAUAUUUCUUCUUCAAACAUUUACAGCUUCUAGAUUACAACUCCUCAUCCUCCAUUCUUCUUUUGUUUUCUUUGUUUCAAAGAAUGCAGCAACAGCCGCAUUCAAAACAGGGAAAAGUGGUGCCACCUUCUAGAAAAGGUGGUGCUAUUUUCCACAACUUAAAGUUAGCUGUUCAGAUUCAAUAAUUAUACAAAUAAUUAGUCUAAUGUCUGAUUCGCCAUAAUCAUGUUGCCUACGUUGUUGCUAGGCCACAGGAGGAUCUACUCCAGACAAACUUAUCAGUAUUUAUCGGCUUGAUUAAUUCUAUAUUGAUUCAAAUCUCUAAUAACUAGUUCUCAAAAAAAAAAAAAAAUGAAGGAAUAGUGCCAUAUGUACCGAAAAUAACGUAAAAUUUAAUACAGAAGACACAAAAGACAAAACAAAUUAAUUCCUGUAAUGUAGUGAAAUUUUUUUUUUUUAGUCAUUUAGUUUUUUAAUUUAUUUUCUUAUCUUCAAAUAACGAUGUGCCGUUUUUAUUUUUUUUGCUCAUAUAAAUAAAAUAAAAUCUCAAAGAUCUAAGAUUAAGAAAUUACCGCAAGCCUCAAAGUCCCACCAAGAAAACUCCCACGCAUAUCAGCAUCUUGAUUUGACAUAUUCAAUUUUGAUAUCUCCAGCAAACCGGUAAAGUUAAAAGAGUAAAUAAUUAGUACAAAACCAAGCAUAUAUAAACAUUCAAGACAAAAGAUGCUUUAUAAACAAAACUAAUGAUAGAUUAAUUGAGUUUAUCAUCUGAAAGUGAGUUGGUGUAGUGAGCUUUAAGCAAUUAAUCAAGUUAAAUCUAAAAGGCACGACUUUGAGGACAUUUCUUUUAAUCAAAUCUGAUCCUCUUCCUCCUCUAAAACACUUAAUAUUGGAAAACAGUUCUUUUUGCCUCAUACAUGAAAACUAAGAGAAAUUAACAGCUUUUAAAAAUAAAAUCAUGAAAUGAAAAUAGCCAUAUUUAUAAUCAUGAUUUCAAAUCAAAUUAUCAAAAAGAAAAAUAGAAAUUCAAGCACUAACUUUUCUAAGUGCUAGAGCUAAAAAUUAAGUCUUGUUUAUGAGAAUUCUGUUUUUUCUCAUGAAAAAAAAAGUAGUUUGACCAAAUCUUAAAUAUUAAUUAUCUUAAGAAUACCGUAAUAUUUAUUUAUUUCUUUCAAAAGAAAUUGAUUAUCGAUGAAUCCUAGGUAAAGAUUACCAAAAAUCAAAAUUGAGAGGAUGAAGAAGAUAAAAAUAAAAUGAAGGGCAUUCAGGUUUUUGUUU